Oncorhynchus tshawytscha (Chinook salmon) is the source of this 1569-nucleotide long non-coding RNA. The record is from Ensembl. NCBI's taxonomy places the organism in Eukaryota, Metazoa, Chordata, Actinopteri, Salmoniformes, Salmonidae.
AAAUAAAUAAAUAAGCAUAAAUAUGGGUUGUAUUUACAAUGGUGUUUGUUCUUCACUGGUUGCCCUUUUCUUGUGGCAACAGGUCACAAAUCUUGCUGCUUUGAUGGCACACUGUGGAAUUUCACCCAGUAGAUAUGGGAGUUUAUCAAAACUGGAAUUGUUUUCAAAUUCUUUGUAGAUCUGUGUAAUCUGAGGGAAAUGUGUGUCUCUAAUAUGGUCAUAUAUUGGGCAGGAGGUUAGGAAGUGGAUCUGUGUAAUCUGAGGGAAAUAUGUCUCUCUAAUAUGGUCAUACAUUGGGCAGGAGGUUAGGAAGUGCAGCUCAGUUUCCACCUCAUUUUGUGGGCAGUGAGCACAUAGCCUAUUUUCUCUUGAGAGCCAUGUCUGCCUAUGGCGGCCUUUCUCAAUAGCAAGGCGAUGCUCACUGAGUCUGAACAUAGUCAAAGAUUUCCUUAAGUUUGGGUCAGUCACAGUGGUCAGGUAUUCUGCCACUGUGUACUCUCUGUGUAGGGCCGAAUAGCAUUCUAGUUUGCUCUGUUUUUUUGUUAAUUCUUUCCAAUGUGUCAAGUAAUUGUCUUUUUGUUUUCUCCUGAUUUUCUUGGGUCUAAUUGUGUUGCUGUCCUGGGGCUCUGUGGGGUGUGUUUGUGUUGCUGUCCUGGGGCUCUGUGGGGUGUGUUUGUGUUGCUGUCCUGGGGCUCUGUGGGGUGUGUUUGUGUUGCUGUCCUGGGGCUCUGUGGGGUGUGUUUGUGCUGCUGUCCUGGGGCUCUGUGGGGUGUGUUUGUGUUGCUGUCCUGGGGUUCUGUGGGGUGUGUUUGUGCUGCUGUCCUGGGGCUCUGUGGGGUGUGUUUGUGUUGCUGUCCUGGGGCUCUGUGGGGUGUGUUUGUGCUGCUGUCCUGGGGCUCUGUGGGGUGUGUUUGUGCUGCUGUCCUGGGGCUCUGUGGGGUGUGUUUGUGCUGCUGUCCUGGGGCUCUGUGGGGUGUGUUUGUGCUGCUGUCCUGGGGCUCUGUGGGGUGUGUUUGUGUUGCUGUCCUGGGGCUCUGUGGGGUGUGUUUGUGUUGCUGUCCUGGGGCUCUGUGGGGUAUGUAUAGUUUUUUGUGUGCUCUAGGGCAAUGGUGUCUAGAUGGAAUUUGUAUUUGUGGUCCUGGUGACUGGACCUUUUUUGGAACACCAUUAUUUUGGUCUUACUGAGAUUUACUGUCAGGGCCCAGGUCUGGCAGAACCUGUGCAGAACAUCUAGGUGCUGCUGUAGGCCCUCCUUGGUUGGUGACAGAACCACCAGAUCAUCAGCAAACAGUAGACAUUUGACUUCAGAUUCUAGCAGGGGGAGGCCGGGUGCUGCAGGCUUUUCUAGUGCCCGCCAAUUCGUUGAUAUAUAUGUUGAAGAGGGUGGGGCUUAAGCUGCAUCCCUGUCUAACCCCACGACCCUGUGUGAAGAAAUUUGUGUGUUUUUUGCCAAUUUGAACCGCACACUUGUUGUUUGUGUACAUGGUUUUUAUAAUGUCGUAUGUUUUACCCCCAACACCACUUUCCAUCAGUUUGUAUAGCAGACCCUCAUGCCAAAUUGAGUCGAAG